CUCAACGGUCAAGGUCAUGCCCGGCGGCCAGGCUGGGAUCGCACCCAGCGGACUCCCGGAUUUGGCCGGGCCGAGGCGCCAGGGCGUGCUAGGCGCUCGCCUCGCAAGGGCACCCUCGGAAACAUUAGCGUGGCAGCGGGUGGACGCCACGGUCUCCUUCCCGACCUCUGUCCUGCGCGCACGCCACAGCCCCAAUUCCCGGGACAGGCCGGCCCAGAGAACGGGGAGCAGGGAGAGUGGCCUCACGGACCUCAUCAACCUCCUUCAUCGUUCACAACAAGCAUUGGAAUGGCCUCGGCUGACAGCUUCACCAGAGAGGUACGAAGUCCACCCCGAGCGAGCACAUUGCAGCACCAGGAGCGGCCCAUGGAGAGAUGGAGCGCCCAUCUGUGGGGAGCCUUGAAUGUCUCAGAAGCACGGAGACCCUGAGGGCCUUGAGUCAGCCUCCUGAGCUUAUUUGGGAGGGGCCAAAGCCUUGUGUUUCUAAGUCUUCAGCCUGGAUGGAUGCCUCCAACCCUAAUCAGCACUGAUGGUCUUUUGAGAGACAGCCUCGGAUCCCUGCCUCUGCGCUACGCGACGCUUCCGCUGCUGUGAGCCGGGGAAACUGGAGCAAGUAGCAGGCCUCGGGUCUGCCCUAGUGGCUCUCGAGAGCUAAUGAGGAAGGAAAAAGACGUGCAUAGACCAAGAAACGAAACAAGAGACAGGCUUUGGUGGAAAUGCUGAGACCCUGCGGCUUGGACCCGAAGGCCCUUAGAGAUGUGAUGCAAGGCUCCCAACGCCUGGGAAAAGCAGGAGUGUGGAGGAGGCUGGGGCGGCAGGCAGGAGGCUGCGGACCUGGAAUGGAAGAGCAGCAGGCUGCGGAUGACCCGGUCGGGGGAGGUUUCAGGGCUCACUCUGAGUUAUCGGGAAGGCAUCGGUGAGUUGAGAACACAGAGAUCGCUCCUGUCUCCAUGGGAGGACCCAGGAGAACACGAGUUUCCCCAGACACAGAAUCUGCCGGUGCCUCGACCUUGGACUUGCCGGCAACCAGAACUCUGAGAAAUCAACUUUCCCUCCUGACUGCAUCACCCAGUCUCCAAUAUUUGGUUAUGGCAGUGGACUAAGAAGCUCGCAGCCCUGUGUGUGAGGCGGGCACCACACUCCAGAACAUGGCCAUCUCUGGGGUCCGCGAACGCAGCUUUGUCUGGGACCCCCAAGACACCCCUGAGUUUGAGGGUACUUUCUCUCCUGCGGGAAAUUAAUUGCAUACUGAUUCCACAGUCCGCCAUCCCUACAUUUUGCUCUUUGCAAAGUAAUUUUGUAGCUCCUCACCCAAGAAGUAGAAUCUGUCUCCCCAUCCCUAUAAAUCUUUGGGACUUGCUGUAACCCAUGGAAAGUGUAGAAGAAAUUAGGAGCUAGUCCUUAGCCUAAGCUGCCAGAGAAUUAUUUUGUUUCUGUCUCCUGAAACCCUGCCACUGUCAUGAGCAGAAACCCAAGGUAACGAACAGAGAAGGAGCAGGGCCUGCCCAGCCCAGGCGCCCCCAGCCAGGCCAUUACCAGGUGAGACAGCCACCUGCCCUCAGGUACCUGCUGAGCUUGGCCUGGCUGCUCCAAUCCCAAUCCAGCUCUCUGCUAUGGCCUGGGAAAGCAGUAGAAGAUGGCCCAGGCCGGCGCCGCGGCUCACUAGGCUAAUCCUCCGCCUAGCGGCGCCGGCACACCAGGUUCUAGUCCCGGUCGGGGCGCCGGAUUCUGUCCCGGUUGCCCCUCUUCCAGGCCAGCUCUCUGCUGUGGCCAGGGAGUGCAGUAGAGGAUGGCCCAGGUGCUUGGGCCCUGCACCCCAUGGGAGACCAGGACAAGCACCUGGCUCCUGGCUCCUGCCAUCGGAUCAGCGCGGUGCGCCGGCCGCAGCGCGCCGUCCGUGGCGGCCAUUGGAGGGUGAACCAACGGCAAAGGAAGACCUUUCUCUCUGUCUCUCUCUCUCACUGUCCACUCUGCCUGUCAAAAAAAAAAAAAAAGAAGAUGGCCCAAAUGCUUGGGUCCCUGCACCCACAUGGGAGACCCGGAAGAAACUAUUGGCUCCUGGCUUCAGAUCGGCCCAUUUCUGGCAGUUGUGGCCAUCUGGGAAAUGAACCAGUGGAUGAAAAACCUCUCUCUCUACCUCUACCUCUGCCUCUGCCUCUCUGUAAUUCUGCUUUUCAGAUAAAUAAAUAUUUUUUAAAAGAUAAAGAAAGAAAAACAAGGAAACAAUUUUUGGUUAACCAGAAAAAAAAUUUUAAUUCCUAGAAGAUAGAAAGCAGUGAUAUCAAACUGAAGGAAAAGGACAAAGCAAACUGAGACACAGAUGGAGCCAACAUGUUCCCUAGGGGAGUCCUGGAGAAGGUUCGAGCAAUACUGGGCCAUGAGGGGCGAGUGUUGUGGUGCAGUGGGUUAACCUGCGCUUGGGACGCCUGCAUCCCUAGAGAGAGCCUUGCCUCAAGUCCCAGCUCUGUUUGCAAUCCAGCUGCUUGCUAAUGCAUAGCCUGAGAGGCAGUAGAUGAUGGCUCAAGUACUUGGGUUCCUGUCACCCACAUGGGAGACCCAGAUAGAAUUCCUGGCUCUGGCUCUGAUCUGGCCCAGCCCUGGCUGUUGCAGGUAUUUGGGGUGUGAACCAGUAGGUGGGAGAU
Molecule: non-coding RNA, 2642 nt
Organism: Oryctolagus cuniculus (rabbit)
Lineage: Eukaryota; Metazoa; Chordata; Mammalia; Lagomorpha; Leporidae
Source: RefSeq, a predicted model, not a curated record